RNAcentral lists this ribosomal RNA (444 nucleotides) under uncultured bacterium. Its description in RNAcentral is "partial 16S ribosomal RNA". It matches the Rfam family "Bacterial small subunit ribosomal RNA", at positions 338 to 795 of the family's 1533-position model. The record is from RNAcentral.
CCUACGGGAGGCAGCAGUGGGGAAUAUUGGACAAUGGGGGGAACCCUGAUCCAGCGACGCCGCGUGAGUGAAGAAGUAUUUCGGUAUGUAAAGCUCUAUCAGCAGGGAAGAAAGAAAUGACGGUACCUGACUAAGAAGCCCCGGCUAACUACGUGCCAGCAGCCGCGGUAAUACGUAGGGGGCAAGCGUUAUCCGGAUUUACUGGGUGUAAAGGGAGCGUAGACGGCGAUGCAAGUCUGAAGUGAAAGGCGGGGGCCCAACCCCUGGACUGCUUUGGAAACUGUAUGGCUGGAGUGCAGGAGAGGUAAGUGGAAUUCCUAGUGUAGCGGUGAAAUGCGUAGAUAUUAGGAGGAACCCCGAUUGCGAAGGCAGCGUACCGGCUCCACACUGACGCUGAGGCACGAAAGCGUGGGUAUCGAACAGGAUUAGAUACCCCUGGUAGUC